ACGUAAUAGAUACCCGGGUAGUCCACGCCCUAAACGAUGUCUACUAGUUGUUGGUGGAGUAAAAUCCAUGAGUAAACGCAGCUAAACGCGUGAAGUAGACCGCCUGGGGAGUACGGUCGCAAGAUUAAAACUCAAAGGAAUUGACGGGGGCCCGGCACAAGCGGUGGAUUAUGUGGAUUAAUUCGAUGCAACGCGAAAAACCUUAACCUGGCCUUGACAUGCCACUAACGAAGCAGAGAUGCAUUAGGUGCCCGUAACGGGUAAAGUGGACACAGGUGCUGCAUGGCUGUCGUCAGCUCGUGUCGUGAGAUGUUGGGUUAAGUCCCGCAACGAGCGCAACCCUUGCCAUUAAUUGCCAUCAUUUAGUUGGGUCAC
RNAcentral lists this ribosomal RNA (375 nucleotides) under uncultured bacterium. RNAcentral describes it as "bacterial SSU rRNA". It matches the Rfam family "Bacterial small subunit ribosomal RNA", at positions 773 to 1139 of the family's 1533-position model. The record is from RNAcentral.